Bombina bombina (fire-bellied toad) is the source of this 4632-nucleotide long non-coding RNA. RefSeq lists it as uncharacterized. The transcript is spliced from 2 exons. Lineage: Eukaryota; Metazoa; Chordata; Amphibia; Anura; Bombinatoridae. The record is from RefSeq and is a predicted model, not a curated record.
AAGAAAAAAAUUUGGGUUCAGUGUCCCUUUAACAGCACUAAGGUGAACUCAGCCUAUGUAGUUUAUUAACCUGUGACCUGAGUGAACACCCAAGAGAAGCUUACAUUUUUUUCAAUAGGCCCAAAGGGUGGAAUUAAAAAAGUAAAAAAAUCUUAAAAUCUACAGGUCUAAUGGUUUGGAAUGCUAGAGUUAAAUUGCCCACGUAAGGCAAGAUUACAAGUGGCGCACUUAUAAUAUUAAAUCAGAUUUACCAGAGAAGUUUUAGCACUGCCCUCAUCGCUCUAGCGUACCCAUUAUUUUCAGUGGAUAUCGGGACUGUGCUAAAUAGCGCUGAUAUUACAAGUCGAAAGUUAUAAGUUGCGAUCAAGUAGAAGCCUAAAUAGUGCUAAAGGAAUGAACGCGACUUGAGAUCUGACAAAGUAUAAGGGUUAAAAAAUAAAAAUAAUUUUAUCUUCUAAGUAAAGAACAUAGGAAUGUAAAGUAUUCCUAACACACCUUCGGCUUUAGCGCAGUUGGUCUAGCACAAUUUCAGCUUAGCACAUGAGCAAUAAAUAGAAGAGGCUUUCUUUAGUGCACCCCAUAGAAGUCUAUAGGGAGCGGGAGGACAGUAAGGACAAUUGCAAUAUCUUGAAGUUAGCGCAUGUGCUAGCAAUUUACUUUUAACAUGUAAUAGCAGUGCUGUGUUGUUCAGCUGUAUGAUGUACUGAAAUGAUCCACAAAGUUCUUUUAAAUCAACUUAUUUUUUAUUUCUGAGCCCUGACACCUGAGCUGCUUUCUGUCUGCUGAGCUCUUCCUGACUGCUCAGAGCUGAGCACUUCCUGGGGCAUCAGUUCCCUUCCUGUUAUCUGACCCUUAUGCAUCUGCAUUACAGGCUCAGCUCAGCCUAAGUGCUAACCCAACAGCGCUAUGUUUACCUUGCGUGCAGUUAGUGGUCAUGAGUGAUAAUCAAAUUAGUCCGCCGCUUGUAAUCUGGUCCAUAUAAAGGUAUAGGAGUAUAAUCAUACCAUAAAUGCAUUUCAAACACUUAAUAUAAAUGUAUAAUUAAACACAAAAUUCUAACUCUGACAAACAAGGCCCUCAAUUGCACUGCUUCCCCUAUAUCUCAGACCUUCUCACUCUCCCUCCCAUCCCCUUUGCUAUGCUCACGACCUCUUCCUCUCUUGUUACCUCCUCACAUUCCCACAUACAGGACUUCUUCAGACUGUCCCCUAUUUUGUGGACCUCUCUGCCUUGCUCCCCUAGUUUUGAUUUGAAAGUUUCAAGAGCUCCUUAAAGACUCUACUGUCCAGGGAUGCAUACGACCUGCACUAACCUUAUCUAACCUCAGUUCAUCUCCUCCUUUGUUAUCCCCUUGAACCCCCUUAGCAUGGGCCCAGCUGUUUGUAGAUCACCUUCAUAAGAGCUGACAACAGAGCAACUCUCGGCCGGGCCCUCUACCAACUGUUUCCCUAUAAAUGGUACCUGCAUAUCAUACCUUUGUUUAUAGCGCUGCCGAAUCUGUUGGCGUUCUACAAAUAACUGAUAAUAAUAAUAUUAAUAUAAUCAAAGGUUUUUCAAACAGAUUGGAAUAGUUAAAAAUUUGAAAGCCCCACCAAAAGCCAUGGGAGACACUUUCCAUGGAAAUUCUAAUGGACUGGAAAUUUGGAAUGGCUCAAAUUAUAUUUAAAUGUCAUGAAUUUACAGUUAUUACUUUUAUCAUAGAUAUUUGGAUUAGGAACCUAAAAUAAGCUCUGCUUGAAACAGAACCGUUUAAAUCAGUUCUCAUAUUUUCACUUUUCUUAUUCCUAUUUAUUCUUCUAAACAGAACCCAAGGGGAGCAACAAUGUCAGCAUUUUGAUUGGUCUAAUGGUUGCUGUUGUCGCUCUGGUCAUCAUUGCUGUUGUAGGAACAUAUAGAUACAGGAAUGCAGGUCAACACCAAAGAGUGAACAUUCAGGAGCAAGAGUAAAGAACUGGACCAUUAAUAUUGAUAAUCUGCAUAUGUGGAUUAUGUUUGCCUUAACCCCUUCAUGUGUGGUACAUUAAUGUAUAUGUCUGAAGGCCUAAUAUUCAAUACCUUAGAAACACAAAUUUUAUCUUAAGAGAUGUUUAUAUCUCCCUUUUAAAUCUUGACUACAAGAUCUUAAUGAAAAUCUUGGUGGACAAAUUAAAACUAAUUUUGCCUAAACUUCUUCAUCCAGAUCAGGUGGGCUUUGUGAUGGGCAGAACUUCUGAACUUAAUAUAAGGAAGAUCCAAAACAUCAUUUGUCAGUAUAGUGAAGAGAUGGGGAAGGUAGUGUUCCCUGCUCUGCCGGAGGCUUUCCUGCUGUCUUUGGAUGCAGAGAAGGUAUUUGACAGAGUAGAGUGGGAUUUCAUGUGUAAAGCUCUAGUAAAUUUUGGGUUCAGUGGUAACUUUCUGAACUUUGUCUCUAAUGUUUAUUCAGAAGUCACUGCUACUUUAUUAAUUAAUAAUUAUAUAUCAUGUUCUUUCCCUCUAUAUAGAGGGACUAGACAGGGAUGUCUGAUGAUACCACUUCUUUUUAAUUUGAUCUUAGAACCCUUGGCUAUGAGGCUGAGGAAUAGUAUAAUGGGUCAUGGAAUUGGUAAGGACUUUUUUCAGAUUUAAGUUUUUGCAGACGACCUACUGGUGUGUAUAACUACUCCAGAUAAGCAAAUAACUGGGAUUAUAAAUCAACUCAAAAAGUAUAAUACAGAUUUCCGGAUAUAAAUUUCUAUGGUUUAAGAAAAUUAACCUAGAUCGGCCAUAUCCAUUCACAGAAACAGCAUUGUUAAAAUAUUUGGGCCUACAUUUGUCGGCUUCCCCUAAUAAUUGGUAUGAAAAAAUAAUUACUGUUGUAAUCUUUAAAUUGAGAACUUGGGUAAAACUCCCCCUCUCGCUGUCUGGAAGAGUUGCAUCCUUUAAAAUGUUUAUUUUACCCAGAAUAUUGUACACUCUUCUUAUGCUUCCUUUAUUAAUCAAUAAUCAAGGUAUAAAAAGAUUUUUAAAAGCCUUGAGAAAUUUUCUCUGGCAAGGCAGAAAGGCCAGGAUUACAAUGGGGAAGUUAUUCCUACCCUAUAAUAGGGGAGGUUGGCUUUAUCUAACUUAAAGUUAUGCAACUAUACAAUCCUUUUGAGAUCACAUUUAGACUGGCUAUUUCAAUCUUGUAAAUAUACAAGCCACAGUAUGGAUGAUAGAAUAUGUGAACAGUUUUCUUUAAACUUCAUUCAUCAUGCUUUCAAUACGGAUAUAUUUAUUCACAUUCAUUAAUGAGAGAUGUUCUUGUGGCCUGGAGAGCCUUGAUUAAACUUAUUCUGGGUCUAGAGUACAGAACUUCUACAUAGCUCCCCUUACUUGGCAAUAACCAUUUUUUACCAGGCCUCCAUAACAAAUGAUUUUAGACUUGGAAAGAUAAACAUGUGACCAACAUAGGGCACUUGGUUGCUUUUUCAAGCAUUUAUAUAUACAAAUUUGAAGAAUUUCAAAGGAAAUAUAAGGUCUCUAAUAUUAAUAGAUUCUACUUUAUGCAAGCUAAAUAUUAGCUAACUCAACUGAUUAAAGCCUCUCCUAUUUUUUUCAAAAACAUCCUUAAUAAGAUCCUCUGAAGGUUAAGGGAGGAUCUUUAUUAUCUAUUUAUAUGAUACUGUUAUUUACUCUAGAGGAGGAUUGGUAAAUGAUUUCAGCGCUAAAUCUGAUAAACUUCUUUCUACUUCAAACAAUGAUAUGAUUCUACAAAAAAGCCUGAUCACUACAAAACAUUUAACAAAUUCUGCUAAAGUCAGAGAGUCCCAAUUUAGACGUAUUCAUCAUGACUAUAUUACGCCUAGAAGAGCACAGAAAUGGAAAAAGGAAAUUAAAAAUAUAUGUAUGAAGUGCUCAGCUUGUAAUCCUAAUAUAUUACAUUUAAUGUUUAAUGUUUAAUUGUCCUAGACUGAUCCAAUUAAGGGCAAAAGUGGAAUAUUUCUUUUCAUGCAUACUUGGUAUUAAAAUCUCUCUCUCAAGAGAAACCAUAAUAUUCAUUACCAGAAAGCCUCUACGGAGAUCCAACAACAAAUUUAUUCAGUUGGCGAUUCUAAGGAUUAGAUUUGUUAUUUUUAAUAACUGGAUUUUUGAGAAAAUUUCCUUCAAUUGAAAAGUAAAAAAUCCUCUAUCUAAAUAAGCAAUUCUGAAAGCGUAUGAUUAUAAGAUAUACAAAACAAAUAGUUUAAAUAACUAUGUCAAAACAUAGGGGACAUGCAUAAUAUUCAUGGGUACUGAAUACAAAAUUCAAAUAAAUGAGAUAGUUACAGUGUAGGAGGUUAAAUGGAUUUAAGCUUUGCAGUGGUUUGGGGAUGGAGAAGGGGGCGGGGAGCGAGAGGAUUCCCUCCUUGCUCCCUUUUUUAUUGUCUCUUCUUGAAAAAUUUACAAAAGGUACACAAACACAGAAUUCUGAACAUAACUGUACUGAUUAUUGAUUUUGAAAUAUACAUACUGUAAAGUAGUAUAAAAUAUAAUGGAUUUCAUAAGUUCCGUGUAUGUAAUAUCUUUUUUUUUUCUUUUAGUUUUGUAAAUAGGCUCUGGAAUCUAUUUUUAUAAUUGAUUAUUCUAUAUCCUGACACAGAAAUCUUAAAUUUUUGUAAUAAAAUAAGAGAAAAAAAUAAAUAAAUAAGAAAUGUA